This 301-nucleotide ribosomal RNA is filed under the name uncultured bacterium. Its description in RNAcentral is "partial 16S ribosomal RNA". It matches the Rfam family "Bacterial small subunit ribosomal RNA", at positions 509 to 807 of the family's 1533-position model. The record is from RNAcentral.
CAGUAGCCACGGUAAAACGAAGGGGGCUAGCGUUGUUCGGAUUUACUGGGCGUAAAGGGCGCGUAGGCGGACUGAUAAGUCAGGGGUGAAAUCCCAAGGCUCAACCUUGGAACUGCCUUUGAUACUGUUUGUCUUGAGUUCGAGAGAGGUAAGUGGAACUGCGAGUGUAGAGGUGAAAUUCGUAGAUAUUCGCGAGAACACCAGUGGCGAAGGCGGCUUACUGGCUCGAAACUGACGCUGAGGCGCGAAAGCGUGGGGAGCAAACAGGAUUAGAUACCCGAGUAGUCCCUGUCUCUUAUAC